UGAAAAUCUAAAACGACAACGGGGUCAGCAUAAAAUCCAGAUUUUGGUUCCAUGACAAGGGGUAUACAUUCCAUGGCAGGUUGAGAGGCAACUUGUUGGUUUCCAGGAGAAAUGGCAACAUAAUUCUGUGCGUGAGCCAACCUCAGAAACAUUGAUUCAACACGGUACUGUGAACCCCGAGAAAGAACUGAAAAGAAGUCGAUGCCGAAAAUCCGUG
RNAcentral lists this unclassified non-coding RNA (217 nucleotides) under Hevea brasiliensis (rubber tree). The record is from RNAcentral. Lineage: Eukaryota; Viridiplantae; Streptophyta; Magnoliopsida; Malpighiales; Euphorbiaceae.